RNAcentral lists this ribosomal RNA (430 nucleotides) under bacterium. Its description in RNAcentral is "partial 16S ribosomal RNA". It matches the Rfam family "Bacterial small subunit ribosomal RNA", at positions 355 to 776 of the family's 1533-position model. The record is from RNAcentral.
UGGGGAAUAUUGGACAAUGGGCGCAAGCCUGUUCCAGCCAUGCCGCGUGUGUGAAGAAGGCCUUUUGGUUGUAAAGCACUUUAAGCGAGGAGGAGGCUACUUGGAUUAAUACUCUAGGAUAGUGGACGUUACUCGCAGAAUAAGCACCGGCUAACUCUGUGCCAGCAGCCGCGGUAAUACAGAGGGUGCGAGCGUUAAUCGGAUUUACUGGGCGUAAAGCGUGCGUAGGCGGCUUUUUAAGUCGGAUGUGAAAUCCCUGAGCUUAACUUAGGAAUUGCAUUCGAUACUGGGAAGCUAGAGUAUGGGAGAGGAUGGUAGAAUUCCAGGUGUAGCGGUGAAAUGCGUAGAGAUCUGGAGGAAUACCGAUGGCGAAGGCAGCCAUCUGGCCUAAUACUGACGCUGAGGUACGAAAGCAUGGGGAGCAAACAGG